RNAcentral lists this ribosomal RNA (368 nucleotides) under uncultured bacterium. RNAcentral describes it as "bacterial SSU rRNA". It matches the Rfam family "Bacterial small subunit ribosomal RNA", at positions 329 to 695 of the family's 1533-position model. The record is from RNAcentral.
UUCCAGACUCCUACGGGAGGCAGCAGUGAGGAAUAUUGGUCAAUGGGCGCGAGCCUGAACCAGCCAAGUCGCGUGAGGGAUGGAGGAUCUAUGGUUCGUAAACCUCUUUUAUAAGGGAAUAAAGUGCGGGACGCGUCCCGCUUCGCAUGUACCUUAUGAAUAAGGAUCGGCUAACUCCGUGCCAGCAGCCGCGGUAAUACGGAGGAUGCGAGCGUUAUCCGGAUUUAUUGGGUUUAAAGGGUGCGUAGGCGGAUUUUUAAGUCAGCGGUAAAAUGUCCGGGCUCAACCCGGGCCGGCCGUUGAAACUGGGGAUCUUGGGUGGGCGAGAAGUAUGCGGAAUGCGUGGUGUAGCGGUGAAAUGCAUAGAU